CAAACUUCGAUGGUUAGUUGGCGUAGA
Molecule: small RNA, 27 nt
Filed under: Bombyx mori (domestic silkworm)
Lineage: Eukaryota; Metazoa; Arthropoda; Insecta; Lepidoptera; Bombycidae
Description: ovarian small RNA-12747
Source: RNAcentral